GACGAACGCUGGCGGCGUGCUUAACACAUGCAAGUCGAACGGAAAGGCCCUGCUUUUGUGGGGUGCUCGAGUGGCGAACGGGUGCGUAACACGUGAGUAACCUGCCCUUGACUUUGGGAUAACUUCAGGAAACUGGGGCUAAUACCGGAUAGGAGCUCCUGCUGCAUGGUGGGGGUUGGAAAGUUUCGGCGGCUGGGGAUGGACUCGCGGCUUAUCAGCUUGUUGGUGGGGUAGUGGCUUACCAAGGCUUUGACGGGUAGCCGGCCUGAGAGGGUGACCGGCCACAUUGGGACUGAGAUACGGCCCAGACUCCUACGGGAGGCAGCAGUGGGGAAUAUUGCACAAUGGGCGGAAGCCUGAUGCAGCAACGCCGCGUGCGGGAUGACGGCCUUCGGGUUGUAAACCGCUUUCGCCUGUGACGAAGCGUGAGUGACGGUAAUGGGUAAAGAAGCACCGGCUAACUACGUG
Molecule: ribosomal RNA, 468 nt
Filed under: uncultured bacterium
Lineage: Bacteria
Description: partial 16S ribosomal RNA
Rfam family: Bacterial small subunit ribosomal RNA
Source: RNAcentral